CUCUUGCUUGGGUCCAUAUCUGUUGAAAUCCAGUCGUCUAGUCUUAACUGACUGGUUUGCCGCUGCCUACCAAAGGUUACAAUAAUACUGUAACAUUUACUAAUACAUUCUGCGUUUAUUAAGCUAAAUGGGUCUGCUAGUCUACCUACCUGGUUGGCUUAUGGCGGGUCCUUGGUCUACUAUUGUACCUACGCUCUUGCCUGUACUUGGAGGCCAGGUAAUCCAUCUUCUGUGCCAGUUGAGGAAGUUGGACCAGGCCUUCUUCUAGAUCCUUUUUCAGCUUAGAUACCUCUGCCUUACUCAGGAUGGGUUCACAGGCGUAGUGAUUGCUUGCAUCAGGGCCUGUUGAGGUCAUAGAGGAAGAAAAUAUCCACUAGAUCUGCUUGGACUGGUGAAUUGGCGCUGGUCCCCUGGCACCUGUUCACGUUUGAUGGAUGGAUGGUUGUCUGUAGGUUGAGGGAGGAGCCUUCACUGUCUGAGGUACUAAGUCCAUCACUGUGCACUCUGCAAAAGGGCUUUCAUAGAGUUAGGAACUAAAACAUUGCUGUGGAAUUUAGAUUAAUUACAUUCAUAAUUAAAUUAAUGAAUUAAUCAAUUAGAACACCCCAUGGGUGACAUUUGUGGCGCCCUCUACGGGUUGUGACCAAAAUGCUGCGAUACAGAUAUCCCCAUAAUCAUGAGAUGAAUGGUCAAUGACUUAUGGGCAAUUAAUUACUCCAAUUAAAUCCAACCCGUGCCCCUGCAAAGACGUUUUUCUUAAAGAUGGAUAAAGAUAAAGAUGUUUUUCAACCAAUCUUACUCAAAUUUUACACACGUGUGCUUGCCAGUCGCCUAAAUGUGAGUACCAAAUUUCAUGCUGAUUUGGUUAAAGUUACAACGGAUGUUUUCUACAGUGUGUCGAGCUUUUCAAGUAAUUCUGACU
This is a long non-coding RNA of Dunckerocampus dactyliophorus (ringed pipefish), 922 nucleotides long. RefSeq lists it as uncharacterized. Lineage: Eukaryota; Metazoa; Chordata; Actinopteri; Syngnathiformes; Syngnathidae. The record is from RefSeq and is a predicted model, not a curated record. The transcript has 3 exons.